This 254-nucleotide ribosomal RNA is filed under the name uncultured bacterium. Its description in RNAcentral is "partial 16S ribosomal RNA". It matches the Rfam family "Bacterial small subunit ribosomal RNA", at positions 524 to 776 of the family's 1533-position model. The record is from RNAcentral.
UACAGAGGGUGCGAGCGUUAAUCGGAAUUACUGGGCGUAAAGCGCGCGUAGGCGGCUUUGCAAGUCGGGUGUGAAAUCCCCAGGCUUAACCUGGGAACUGCAUUCGAGACUGCAUUGCUAGAGUAUGGGAGAGGGAAGUGGAAUUUCCGGUGUAGCGGUGAAAUGCGUAGAUAUCGGAAGGAACAUCAGUGGCGAAAGCGACUUCCUGGACCAAUACUGACGCUCAUGUGCGAAAGCGUGGGGGAGCAAACAGG